UAGUUUGAUCCUGGCUCAGGACGAACGCUGGCGGCGUGCCUAAUACAUGCAAGUAGAACGCUGAGGUUUGGUGUUUACACUAGACUGAUGAGUUGCGAACGGGUGAGUAACGCGUAGGUAACCUGCCUCAUAGCGGGGGAUAACUAUUGGAAACGAUAGCUAAUACCGCAUAAGAGUAAUUAACACAUGUUGGUUAUUUAAAAGGAGCAAUUGCUUCACUGUGAGAUGGACCUGCGUUGUAUUAGCUAGUUGGUGAGGUAAAGGCUCACCAAGGCGACGAUACAUAGCCGACCUGAGAGGGUGAUCGGCCACACUGGGACUGAGACACGGCCCAGACUCCUACGGGAGGCAGCAGUAGGGAAUCUUCGGCAAUGGACGGAAGUCUGACCGAGCAACGCCGCGUGAGUGAAGAAGGUUUUCGGAUCGUAAAGCUCUGUUGUUAGAGAAGAACGUUGGUAGGAGUGGAAAAUCUACCAAGUGACGGUAACUAACCAGAAAGGGACGGCUAACUACGUG
Molecule: ribosomal RNA, 516 nt
Filed under: uncultured Streptococcus sp.
Lineage: Bacteria; Bacillati; Bacillota; Bacilli; Lactobacillales; Streptococcaceae
Description: bacterial SSU rRNA
Rfam family: Bacterial small subunit ribosomal RNA
Source: RNAcentral